GAAACUUGCCCCGAGAUGAGUUCUCCCUGAGACUUAGAGUCUCCUGAAGGAACGUUGAAGACGACGACGUUGAUAGGCCGGGUGUGUAAGCGCAGCGAUGCGUUGAGCUAACCGGUACUAAUGAACCGUGAGGCUUAACCUUACAACGCCGAAG
This 154-nucleotide ribosomal RNA is filed under the name Escherichia coli. RNAcentral describes it as "partial 23S ribosomal RNA". It matches the Rfam family "Bacterial large subunit ribosomal RNA", at positions 2789 to 2925 of the family's 2925-position model. RNAcentral also lists the same sequence under 2 other names. The record is from RNAcentral. Lineage: Bacteria; Pseudomonadati; Pseudomonadota; Gammaproteobacteria; Enterobacterales; Enterobacteriaceae.